UUGGAAACACUAGUUUUGUAUAUCCUCCACGUAUUUCACACUUCCUUAAGUGGGCCUUUGGCAGUUCUGUACAAAUUCCUGGAGGAUAUACAAAACUAGUGUUUCCAAUAAUUAUUGUAUUAGUAUAAAUGGGCCAGUUUGCAAAUCUUCUCUUCCCAACAUUGUCGCUGAGCCACCUGAAAAUGGGAAGGAUGAAUUGUUGCUUAGUGAUGAAUUUCUUAGAAAAUGUGUGGAUAUGUUCUCAAUACCAUCAAGGAGUCCUGAGAUCAAUUCACGGCCUUUUCCCCUGAAGCAUCUAAAUGUAGUUGAUUCUCUGAAAGAAAAUAACAACUUGGGCCGCAGUGUAAACAGAGCUAGCUUCCAUCGAAUACAGGGU
This 376-nucleotide unclassified non-coding RNA is filed under the name Hevea brasiliensis (rubber tree). Lineage: Eukaryota; Viridiplantae; Streptophyta; Magnoliopsida; Malpighiales; Euphorbiaceae. The record is from RNAcentral.